Molecule: ribosomal RNA, 187 nt
Filed under: Puniceicoccales bacterium
Lineage: Bacteria; Pseudomonadati; Verrucomicrobiota; Opitutia; Puniceicoccales
Description: partial 23S ribosomal RNA
Rfam family: Bacterial large subunit ribosomal RNA
Source: RNAcentral
GGUAGCUAUGCUUGGAAUGGAUAAGCGCUGAAAGCAUCUAAGCGCCAAGCCACUCCCGAGAUGAGAUCUCCCUGGGGCUUCGAGCCCCCUGAAGGGUCCUGGUAGACCACCAGGUAGAUAGGCCGGAUGUGUAAGCGCAGUAAUGCGUUGAGCUAACCGGUACUAAUGACCCGUGAGGCUUAUUGGU